GUGAAGCUCCGGAAGACUUCCUUCGACACUUGGAUGGAGUUUUCCUCAAAAAUAGGAGAUGUGGAUGCUUUGUGGAAAAUUGAGAAGAUUCGAUCAGAAAUCAUGAAGGAACAUACUCUUGGAAGUGGACUUUCAUGUGCUAAGGGUUUCCUAAUUGACCACAAACCUGAAGAUGCUGCUGCCGUCAUUCAUUUACUCAAUCAGAGUGUACCUGAUUCGAGAAAGCAAAAAUUCAUUGCUGAACUUCAAAAGCUAGUUGCGGACUGGCCUUUGGAGGUGAUAAAGCGACA
This 290-nucleotide unclassified non-coding RNA is filed under the name Hevea brasiliensis (rubber tree). The record is from RNAcentral. Lineage: Eukaryota; Viridiplantae; Streptophyta; Magnoliopsida; Malpighiales; Euphorbiaceae.